UAGCUCAGUCGGUUAGAGUGUGGUGCUAAUAACACCAAGGUCACAGGUUCAAUUCCCGU
This 59-nucleotide transfer RNA is filed under the name Apaloderma vittatum (bar-tailed trogon). It matches the Rfam family "tRNA", at positions 8 to 63 of the family's 71-position model. From Rfam's summary of the family: Transfer RNA (tRNA) molecules are approximately 80 nucleotides in length. Their secondary structure includes four short double-helical elements and three loops (D, anti-codon, and T loops). Further hydrogen bonds mediate the characteristic L-shaped molecular structure. tRNAs have two regions of fundamental functional importance: the anti-codon, which is responsible for specific mRNA codon recognition, and the 3' end, to which the tRNAs corresponding amino acid is attached (by aminoacyl-tRNA synthetases). tRNAs cope with the degeneracy of the genetic code in two manners: having more than one tRNA (with a specific anti-codon) for a particular amino acid; and 'wobble' base-pairing, i.e. permitting non-standard base-pairing at the 3rd anti-codon position. The record is from Rfam by way of RNAcentral. Lineage: Eukaryota; Metazoa; Chordata; Aves; Trogoniformes; Trogonidae.